This 3106-nucleotide long non-coding RNA is filed under the name Homo sapiens (human). RNAcentral describes it as "HSALNT0366860". Lineage: Eukaryota; Metazoa; Chordata; Mammalia; Primates; Hominidae. The record is from RNAcentral.
AAUAAACAAGCCACUUAGCUUUGAAACUGAAUUUUAACAAUGUUCCAAAAGGAGAAAUAAGGUAUAGCAUCUCACUACAAAUCCUCCAUCUCAAAACAUGGGGCCUGGAGUGGCCCCCCAAGACCCUACCCCUAAAACAAACUGGCUGUGGAUAUGGUGACAGAUUAGAAAGUUAAACCCUUCACCUCCAUGAAAGAAUCUGGAAUGGAGAUGCUGUAAGGAUAAUGUGGAUAGGAAGAAUCAAUAUCAUCAGAACGGCCAUUCUGUCCAAAGUAAUUUAUACAUUCAGUGCUAUCCCGAUCAAGCUACCAUUGACUUUCUUCACAGAAUUGGAAAAAACUACUUUAAAUUUCAUGUGGAACCAAAAGAGCCCACAUAGCCAAAACAAUCCUAAGCAAAAAGAACAAAGCUGGAGGCAUCAUGCUACCUGACUUCAAACUAUACUACAAGCCUACAGUAACAAAAACAGCAUGGUACUGGUACCAAAACAGAUAUAUAGACCAAUGGAACAGAACAGAGGCCUCAGAAAUAACACCACACAUCUACAACCAUCUGAUAUUUGACAAACCUGACAAAAAUCAAGCAAUGGGGAAAGGAUUCCCUAUUUAAUAAAUGGUGUUGGGAAAAGUGGCUAGCCAUAUGCAGAAAGCUGAAACUGGAUCCCUUCCUUACACCUUAUAUAAAAAUUAACUCAAGAUGGCUUAAUGACUUAAAUGUAAGACCAAAAACCAUAAAAACCCUAGAAGAAAACCUAGGCAAUACCACUCAGAACAUAGGCAUGGGCAAAGACUUCAUGACUAAAACACCAAAAGCCAAAAUUGACAAAUGGGAUCUGAUUAAACUAAAGAGCUUCUGCACAGCAAAAUAAACUAUCAUCAGAGUGAACUGGCAACCUACAGAAUGGGGAAAAUUUUGGCAAUCUGUCCAUCUGACAAAGGCCUAAUAUCCAGAAUCUACAAAGCACUUAAAUUUACAAGAAAACAAACAACACCAUCAAAAAGUGGGUGAAGGAUAUGAACAGACACUUAUUAAAAGAAGACAUUUAUGCAGCCAACAAACUUAUGAAAAAAAGCUCAUCAUCACUGGUCAUUAGAGAAAUGCAAAUCAAAACCACAAUGAGAUACCAUCUCAUGCCAGUUAGAAUGGUGAUUAUUAAAAAGUCAGGAAACAACAGAUGCUGGAGAGGAUGUGGAGAAAUAGGAAGGCUUUUACACUGUUGGUGGGAGUGUAAAUUAGUUCAACCACUGUGGAAGACAGUGUGGCAAUUCCUCAAGGAUCUAGAACUAGAAAUACCAUUUGACCCAGCAAUCCCAUUACUGGGUAUAUACCCAAAGGAUUAUAAAUCUUUCUACUAUAAAGACACAUGCACACCUAUGUUUAUUGUGGCACUGUUCACAAUAGCAAAGACUUGGAACUGACCCAAAUGCCCAUCAAUGAUAGACUGGAUUAAGAACAUGUGGCACAUAUAUACCAUGGAAUACUAUGCAGCCAUAAAAAAGGAUCAGUUCAUGUCCUUUGCAGGGACAUGGAAGAAGCUGGAAACCAUCAUUCGCAGCAAACUAACACAAGCACAGAAAACCAAAUAUCACAUGUUCUCAUUCAUAAGUGGGAGUUGAGCAAUGAGAACACACGGACACAGGGAGGGGAACAUCACACACUGGGGCCUGUAAGGGGGUGGGGGGCUAGGGGAAGGAUAGCAUUAGGAGAAAUACCUAAUGUAGAUGACAGGUUGAUGGGUGCAGCAAACCACCAUGGCAUGUGUAUAUCUAUGUAACAAACCCGCACAUUCUGCACAUGUACCCUAGAACUUAAAGUAUUAAAAAAAAAAAAAGCCGCUCACAUGGAGGUGCCAGUAGUGCCAAGUGGAAGGGCAGAAGUGGAGUGGCUGCUUGUCUAGGCCAUCUGUAACCUGGGGAAACUCAUCUUGGAGCAUGGGUGUAUUGGAUAACGUGUGAUUUCAGGGCAUUUCCAACUGAGAGUUGAAGUUGCAUUAUAAAGACUUUCUUCAAAAGGAGCUGGAGAACUGCUGUGCUUCCCAAUACCAAAUUCCUUUUUGCCCCAUUCCAAGGCAAUGCUACCACAGCUGCCUAGCGGAAAUGCCCCUUACUACUGCAUAAACUGUCUGGCUCACACAGAGUCCCAGCAUGACAAUUACAUAAUUGUGUUAAAAGCCCCUUUUUGAUUACCUGGGUUUGAGAGGUGAGAUUGAAAUUCCAAGAGGAGAUUCUGAAAUGUUGGGGCAAGGUAACAGGGUGAAGCAGUCAAGAGAGAAAUAAGUCCUGACAACUGUGAUUACUGGAGAAUGAAAUAAUUCUUGCUCCACAUAGAGCAGGUCCUGAAUGAAUGAAUGGCUGAAUGGUACAGGUCUUUUUCAAACUAAUCUCAUGAUGUGAGGUCUUAGUGUCCAUUGAUUUCUUCCUGUGUGUGUGUGUUGAUCGUUCUCAUGCCCUUUGCCUGGUGGAUCCUGCCUGCCCUUGACUACAGGUAUUCUGAGGAUCGAUACAUUUGUGACCAUGCCAGACCCUGUGCUUGCAGAUGUCCACCAUAACCUGAAAAAUGUACUUAUGGUUGUCAGACCACAGGGAUAUUUAAGAAAUCAAGCUAUUCUGCCCAUACUGUUUGGACUCCAAAUUAUCCCAAAUUAUGUCAGACCCGGGGGUGACCUUCUAUAUCAGGGGCCAAGUUGCACCAGGUAAUGGUGCUCUGGGAGCACCCUGUCUGGUGCUGAGAACUGGCAUUGACUUUGACUCUGCCUCCAUCUCCACUUGAUGCCUUCUCAGCCUUCUUGCCUCAGCAUCAGAGGGUUAAAACAAUUCCUCUAGCAGCAGCCUCUCCUCAUUAGCAACCUGGAAUCAUUGCAGUGCUGAAGGCUGCAUUGUUCUUCAGCACUUGAAUACAAUUUGCAUAACGAGGCAGGUGAGAGCGCCUCUUGCCUGUUCAGGCAGCCCUGAUUGGCAGAGAGAAAGGGAUUUAUAGGUAGUUGGCCACAAUUAAUUUGGUGUGCUUUUAAAAGGAUAAAAAGAAAAGCAGAAAAUUGCUCAGUGCUCCAAGUCAAAACCACAUCUGUACCCUAUGUGGUGUAUGUGCUGGUGUGUUUGCAGGGAUG